GUUUUUAUAGUUUAAUUAAAACAUUGGUCUUGUAAAUCAAAUUUAGAAUGUAUAUUUCUUUAAAACA
Molecule: transfer RNA, 67 nt
Filed under: Vermiophis taishanensis
Lineage: Eukaryota; Metazoa; Arthropoda; Insecta; Diptera; Vermileonidae
Description: tRNA-Thr
Rfam family: tRNA
About the family: Transfer RNA (tRNA) molecules are approximately 80 nucleotides in length. Their secondary structure includes four short double-helical elements and three loops (D, anti-codon, and T loops).
Source: RNAcentral